CUCGUUCUUCUCGUGCGCGCUCCUCCAGCACAGCUGGCCCGCACCACAUGCUCGCUCAUUCACAUGGAGGAUUAGACUCUGUGCAAAUCCGUCUCUACUGGCCUGGACUUUUACUCAGAUCCUCCUUUAACACACUCUGCCCCUAGAAAAGAAAAGAAAAAAAAACUCAAAGGAGAUCUCUUAUAAUAUCUCAAAGAUUGCAAUGAGAUUAACGAACAGUUCACCUAAAAAUUUUAUCAUUAUUUGUCAUUAUUUACUCACCAUCAUCUUGUUUCAAACCCAUAUGGUGUUAUUUUAUUUAUUUUAUUUUUCAGAGAAUUUUGAUGCAACUCUUUUCUACAACAUCUGUUAAGUUUCAAAAAAGGGUAAUGAAAAGUAGUCCAUAUCAAUAAUGCAGAUAAAGUCUUCUGAAAUCAUAUAUAGCGUUGUGUGAGAAACAGGUUGACAUUUGUCAUAAUUCAUUGAUAAUAUUCUACAGUGCUGCAGGUCUCAAACCAAGAUGGUCAUGAGAUUUGAGAUUAAAUAUUGAACAUUCAUAUUUUUGGGUGAACUGUUCCUUUGUCUCCUACUUCUUUGUCUUUUUUUUUCUUUUUCCAGAAAAGAUUUCAACAAAGUCGCUGUCACGUUUUGGUCCAAGGAUGGUGAGGAAGAUUCAAAUAGAAGCGAAUUUAUUAAAACAAAACUCAGAAACUGGAAGAAACAUCUGUUUAGGAGAAACAUCUGAGACGAAUGAGGAAAAUGUCAAUGCUCGCUAGAUAGAAAAAGAUGCAAGAGAAUGAUCUCUUGCAUAAUAUAAGAGGAGACAUAAAUGAAAGCUUCAAAUCGCAGCGUCAUGGAUACCGGCUGAUAUUCAGGUGGGGACUGUGAAUUCCAUCCUAAGCCGAGAGAAGCCUGCAUACAUUUCUGUCCUGUCUGAAAAAUGCCUUGGCCACCUGUCUUCCCUCCUGAAUUGCUGCUUGUCAGGUAUAGCAAGCAUGUUGGAUGAGUACGGAGUGUGUCCUGGUCAAAACUCAUCCUGCAUGCUGGGGGAUCCCUGCCCGGGUUGAAGGGGGACACGUAAAAGGAGAUUAGCUCUGUGAUAAUGCAGGGAUUCGCACCUGGCUGUCUGGCCUGCAGCUGAUUGCAAAGUCAAUGGAUUUACCUUUAGAAAGCUGCAGAAAUCGAUAAAAUCAGUGGAGAUUCGCACCAUUUUAACAAAGCAGGAAAGUGGCCUCCAAAACCUGAAAGCUUACCUCCUUGAAGGUGAGCAAUGAGUGCAGUUCCAGAAUAGGACAAAUACUGCAGUCAUAUGUUUUCAUACCUGGGUCUGUCAAACUGCUGGUUUGAGAGAAGACGGCAUGACAUGUGGAUGUGCGUCAGAUGAAUUGCAGAGGCUAAACGAAAACCAGAAUCACCUGCGUCAGGUGCAAAAAACACCCUGUCAGUCACUUCCGAAUUAAAAGAAACCUCUAAGCUGUUUCCCAUGAUUGCAUGUUCUAACCAUAUUUGGAUUUCAUCUUGUUCAUCCACCACCUAUCUCUAGACUGACAUCUGUUUUACACCCAGGUAAUAUCGGCAGGAAAAUCAUCAACUGUCACAACUGUACACACAAAUACACACCAAAUAGAUUGCUCCCUGCCGUGGGGAGAGCUCGCUAUGCCGUUAUGACCAAUUUUUUAUGGCUGCCGCGCUCAGCCUGUGUGGCCUCCACUGUGCUCAUAAUUCACGCAAACACACUUACACACACACACACACCCACAUCCCAGUCGCUCCAAUCUGAAGCAGUAAAUGUUACUGUCUAACAUAUGGGCGACAUUGUGAUGAAAAUACUCUCUCUCCUUUAUGCCCUCUCAUACAAUUACUCUUUUCUCUUCCCCACCAUCAUAUGAUCAUGUUUUUUUCUCACAGGUUUGAUCUGAAAUCCCCAAAUUAUUCAUUUGAUGCAUAAACACAAUCCGUUUAGGUUAUUUUUUGAGAUUUUAUUUUUAAUUCUUUAGCACCCUUUAAUAUCGUAACAUCAACGUAACAUUAAAUAAUAGUUAUGCUAAUAUACAAAGUGGAUAUCUAUACAGUAUUAUUAAAUCCAGUGUUUAUUUUCAUGCAAUGCAAAUAUUUAAGUGCCUUAUUAAUUUCAAAACCUUGCACUGUUUCCACUGUUUUCAUUCAUUCAUUCAUUCACACUAUAAAAAUAUGAUCUCAUUAUAUUUUGUUUCUUUGUUUGCAUGGGCUUUUCUGAGUUGACUUACGCCCAAAAGUUGAGAUAACUUCAUUUUUUUAUUUUUUUUAUUUGCCAAUUCAGAUACAUUGGAUUGGAUAAACUCUGUAAAUAUAAAAUAUAAAUAUAAAAAAAUAAAUAAAUAAAGUUUAGUUUACUAAUAUAUAUAUA
Long non-coding RNA from Megalobrama amblycephala (Wuchang bream), 2365 nucleotides. RefSeq lists it as uncharacterized. The transcript has 8 exons. The record is from RefSeq and is a predicted model, not a curated record. NCBI's taxonomy places the organism in Eukaryota, Metazoa, Chordata, Actinopteri, Cypriniformes, Xenocyprididae.